RNAcentral lists this ribosomal RNA (1817 nucleotides) under Shigella flexneri. RNAcentral's name for it is "partial 23S ribosomal RNA". It matches the Rfam family "Bacterial large subunit ribosomal RNA", at positions 1 to 1834 of the family's 2925-position model. The record is from RNAcentral. Lineage: Bacteria; Pseudomonadati; Pseudomonadota; Gammaproteobacteria; Enterobacterales; Enterobacteriaceae.
GGGUUGUGAGGUUAAGCGACUAAGCGUACACGGUGGAUGCCCUGGCAGUCAGAGGCGAUGAAGGACGUGCUAAUCUGCGAUAAGCGUCGGUAAGGUGAUAUGAACCGUUAUAACCGGCGAUUUCCGAAUGGGGAAACCCAGUGUGAUUCGUCACACUAUCAUUAACUGAAUCCAUAGGUUAAUGAGGCGAACCGGGGGAACUGAAACAUCUAAGUACCCCGAGGAAAAGAAAUCAACCGAGAUUCCCCCAGUAGCGGCGAGCGAACGGGGAGCAGCCCAGAGCCUGAAUCAGUGUGUGUGUUAGUGGAAGCGUCUGGAAAGGCGUGCGAUACAGGGUGACAGCCCCGUACACAAAAAUGCACAUACUGUGAGCUCGAUGAGUAGGGCGGGACACGUGGUAUCCUGUCUGAAUAUGGGGGGACCAUCCUCCAAGGCUAAAUACUCCUGACUGACCGAUAGUGAACCAGUACCGUGAGGGAAAGGCGAAAAGAACCCCGGCGAGGGGAGUGAAAAAGAACCUGAAACCGUGUACGUACAAGCAGUGGGAGCACGCUUAGGCGUGUGACUGCGUACCUUUUGUAUAAUGGGUCAGCGACUUAUAUUCUGUAGCAAGGUUAACCGAAUAGGGGAGCCGAAGGGAAACCGAGUCUUAACUGGGCGUUAAGUUGCAGGGUAUAGACCCGAAACCCGGUGAUCUAGCCAUGGGCAGGUUGAAGGUUGGGUAACACUAACUGGAGGACCGAACCGACUAAUGUUGAAAAAUUAGCGGAUGACUUGUGGCUGGGGGUGAAAGGCCAAUCAAACCGGGAGAUAGCUGGUUCUCCCCGAAAGCUAUUUAGGUAGCGCCUCGUGAAUUCAUCUCCGGGGGUAGAGCACUGUUUCGGCAAGGGGGUCAUCCCGACUUACCAACCCGAUGCAAACUGCGAAUACCGGAGAAUGUUAUUACGGGAGACACACGGCGGGUGCUAACGUCCGUCGUGAAGAGGGAAACAACCCAGACCGCCAGCUAAGGUCCCAAAGUCAUGGUUAAGUGGGAAACGAUGUGGGAAGGCCCAGACAGCCAGGAUGUUGGCUUAGAAGCAGCCAUCAUUUAAAGAAAGCGUAAUAGCUCACUGGUCGAGUCGGCCUGCGCGGAAGAUGUAACGGGGCUAAACCAUGCACCGAAGCUGCGGCAGCGACGCUUAUGCGUUGUUGGGUAGGGGAGCGUUCUGUAAGCCUGUGAAGGUGUGCUGUGAGGUAUGCUGGAGGUAUCAGAAGUGCGAAUGCUGACAUAAGUAACGAUAAAGCGGGUGAAAAGCCCGCUCGCCGGAAGACCAAGGGUUCCUGUCCAACGUUAAUCGGGGCAGGGUGAGUCGACCCCUAAGGCGAGGCCGAAAGGCGUAGUCGAUGGGAAACAGGUUAAUAUUCCUGUACUUGGUGUUACUGCGAAGGGGGGACGGAGAAGGCUAUGUUGGCCGGGCGACGGUUGUCCCGGUUUAAGCGUGUAGGCUGGUUUUCCAGGCAAAUCCGGAAAAUCAAGGCCGAGGCGUGAUGACGAGGCACUACGGUGCUGAAGCAACAAAUGCCCUGCUUCCAGGAAAAGCCUCUAAGCAUCAGGUAACAUCAAAUCGUACCCCAAACCGACACAGGUGGUCAGGUAGAGAAUACCAAGGCGCUUGAGAGAACUCGGGUGAAGGAACUAGGCAAAAUGGUGCCGUAACUUCGGGAGAAGGCACGCUGAUACGUAGGUGAAGCGACUUGCUCGUGGAGCUGAAAUCAGUCGAAGAUACCAGCUGGCUGCAACUGUUUAUUAAAAACACAGCACUGUGCAAACACGA